UUCAUCCCUCUCCCGUGGAACUCAUCAUCAGCCAUGCAGUCAGUGUUGUUCAAGUAGCCCGUCAAUGAAAGUGUGUGUCUUUGAAGGGACCAUCCAAGAGUGAUAAAGUGUCACUCUGUCAGUGUAGGUCUGGUGUCUGCAGUGUCUCCUGCGUUUGUGAAGAUGUGGAUGCACUGGGCUGAUAUCACAGUGAGUAGACUUUUCUCUACCUUUGGAUAUUUUGGGCUUUGAAAGUUCUACAGGCAAUUGAUUUUCAUUGUGAUUCCUACAUUCUUUGCUUUCCAGCUACUAAUCAUCACUACCCACAAUACUCAGGUGAUGAGAUCCUCUGUUGAAAUAACUUUGUAUAAUAAAAAAGUGCGUCCUGCUUCUCCAGGUUGAAGAGUCCUUGUGGGAGCUGAUGGGAGUUUGUUUGAAAGGUUUCAUUCCUGCAACUGUACUGUCUUUGCUAUUGACUACGGUAAGCCAAUAAGUUACAAUAUGAACACUUUAAAGGAAAAAGUUUUGCAACAAAUGCUUUUGUAAUUAUUUUUAUUCUUUCUGACUUAAAUUCUAAAACUGAAACAACAUAAAAUUACUUCUUAAACUGAAACUGAACUGAACUCUUUACCAUACAGAUGAGAGGAAUGGAUUUUUUAUUUAUUUAUUGUGUUCACGUUGUCAAAAGUGUUUAAAAAGUCAUUUUGAAAGUGUUUUCCAGCAUCUGGUCACACAGAUUUUGAAGGAUUUGUUUUUAGAUUUCAUUUAUGCUUUAUUGAGGCAGAUUAAACAUUUUAGAUGUUUUAUUUAAUAUAACUCUUUAACAGUAUACUGUAACUUUAUUUUUUUAUUUGAGCUCCCUGCCGUGUUUAAACUACAUACUAAAAUGUGUGCCAAUUUUUUCCCCUCAUACUUUUGAUCUUGUUGUUAUUUAUUGCCUGUUCAUGUUAUAAACAUCUAUAUUCAUUCUGCCUAAUAGUUUUUUUAUCUGGGGCCCCUGGUUCAGUCUGCUUUGGACAACUCUGACGGGUUCUCUGGGGAACUUCACUCUGCCCUGGGUAUUUAUAAGAUGUGCAGAGUUGGAGGAUGUGCGUUAAAGAUGCAGCGUGGCUCAGGAGCCAGGUAGUGGCGCCAGUGAUGGAGGACGGAACAUGCUGCCGAUGUUGGUGCCUUGCACUGGAGCCACAGCUCUUAUCUUCAUUGCGCCUCUGUUCUUUGGUGUUGGUAUGACAGGAAACUUUGGGGCCACAAUGACAUCAUACUCUACUAAAGCACGGCAAAAUGCACCAGUUGACCUGCAGGAGUUUUGCUGUUCCUGUUAUAAUGUUUGCAAACUUUAUCUUAAUUGUACUCUCGUUCUAGCUCUUCUUCACCACAUCAGAGAGCAGCUUCACCUUGGAAAGGACAAGGUGAGUGCCAUCUUCCUAGGGGCAGGUCAUAUUAUGGGUCCAGUUUUGUGCCAUUCAUUCUGCAACAGCCAGGGUCUCCCUGACACUGGUUCCGCUCUGAGCCGCCCUCAGCGUUCAGCCGUGCUGAUCUGCUAUCUGACUGGAGUCCUGCUGUUUCUGGUGGUGCUCUUCCCCUUCACAGACCCCUUCCUCUAUGGCUGUCUGCAGCCUCGCCGCCUCUCAAGCAUUGGAAUGUUGAUUGAGAAAAUGUCAAAUACUCAAGAAAGUCAUGAAAAAUAAAGGUUUGAGACAGAUUUUAACUUUAAUAUAAUUUUUUUUCAGUCAUGAUUAAGACUUUUCUGAAGUGCGUGCAUGAUUUUUGCGGGUGGCAGGAGAAAGAUCCCAGUGCUUCAGACAUUUCCUGCAUGGUUCAAAAAUAUUUCCUACUGUAUGAAACUUAACACCAGCACAAAACUCCCUGGCUACAACAAAGUAGCAGAAGCGUGCAUGAGUGCAAGCAUAGAAAACCAGAUGGAAUAUGGUGGUGAAGAAGAAAAAGAAAAGCAGGCAAUAGAGGACACGAUCACAAAGAAAGACGCGGAGGCAGGCAAAACAUGCAGACAUCGUUGCCAAUAAAUACACCAACAGAACCAAAUUGGAGAGAGACAGCUAUUUAAAGUCAUGUUUUUAAAUCAGACAAGGCAAUGAAAGCCAGAGGAAGACUUAAACAGAGAGGAGUGGAAAACAAGUGGUUCCAGCCAGAAGCAAUAAGAAAAGGUAGAGUGGGGGAGCGCAGGGAUAAAGAUUGUUCUUCCCUGGGGAAAUUGAAAAUGUGGAGUAGCAGAGCAGAGGAAAAGGGAAAGGUCAUGCAGGGUAUGUUGAAAUGUCUGGGAGGUGAAAGGUUGUGUUGAAGCUCCAGAUUUAUGAGGUAGGUUUAUAAGUAAUAAAACCUUUGCGACGUAAAAUUGGGCAAACAUCAUAAAUUCACAUGUAUGUGUCUUUUCUUUUUCUCCACAGAUUCCAGAUGCGUUUUAUUUCUUGUCUUUUUUUUACAGUUUGUAGCUGUAAA
RNA transcript from Poecilia latipinna (sailfin molly), 2436 nucleotides. It is a transcript of the gene named CAAX prenyl protease 2-like, with no coding region annotated. The transcript is spliced from 3 exons. The record is from RefSeq and is a predicted model, not a curated record. NCBI's taxonomy places the organism in Eukaryota, Metazoa, Chordata, Actinopteri, Cyprinodontiformes, Poeciliidae.